UACGUAGGGGGCAAGCGUUGUCCGGAUUUAUUGGGCGUAAAGAGCGUGUAGGCGGCCAGUUAGGUCCGUUGUGAAAACUCGAGGCUCAACCUCGAGACGCCGAUGGAAACCAACUGGCUAGAGUCCGGAAGAGGUGAGUGGAACUGCGAGUGUAGAGGUGAAAUUCGUAGAUAUUCGCAAGAACACCAGUGGCGAAGGCGGCUCACUGGUCCGGUACUGACGCUGAGGUGCGAAAGCGUGGGGAGCAAACAGG
RNAcentral lists this ribosomal RNA (253 nucleotides) under uncultured bacterium. RNAcentral's name for it is "partial 16S ribosomal RNA". It matches the Rfam family "Bacterial small subunit ribosomal RNA", at positions 524 to 776 of the family's 1533-position model. The record is from RNAcentral.